UACGAAGGGGGCUAGCGUUGUUCGGAAUUACUGGGCGUAAAGGGCGCGCAGGCGGUCGUUCAAGUCAGGCGUGAAAGCCCCGGGCUCAACCUGGGAACAGCGCUUGAGACUGAGCGACUUGAGUUCGGGAGAGGAGAGCGGAAUUCCCAGUGUAGAGGUGAAAUUCGUAGAUAUUGGGAAGAACACCGGUGGCGAAGGCGGCUCUCUGGACCGACACUGACGCUGAGGCGCGAAAGCGUGGGGAGCAAACAGG
Molecule: ribosomal RNA, 253 nt
Filed under: uncultured bacterium
Lineage: Bacteria
Description: partial 16S ribosomal RNA
Rfam family: Bacterial small subunit ribosomal RNA
Source: RNAcentral